UGUGAUGAUGUUGGGGCAAAUUGGUU
Molecule: non-coding RNA, 26 nt
Filed under: Homo sapiens (human)
Lineage: Eukaryota; Metazoa; Chordata; Mammalia; Primates; Hominidae
Source: RNAcentral